UAUAAUAUUAUAAUAAUACAGAUUCAAGUUUAUUGUUAUAUUUAAACUAAAGUGAGCAUCCGCAGUCGUAGCGGAAACAGGAAACUUGUUAAGACAGUUCUAACGUAAUAUUUAGGUAAUGCUGCGAUUAUUCCAAGAUUUAAUCUUUUACGAUUCCCACAAAUCGUAAUAACAUUAAAAACAUCAAUCGCUUUAGUGAAGGCCGUAUACAUAUUCGUAAGUUGUAACAGUAUUUAUAAAACGUCAUUUUAAUUAUAUAAAUUUUAACAGCAGCUUUUGGUUUACGAUAUUACGCAAGGCCAAUAUAUAAUUGCAUAAACAUUAUAUUUGAUAUCAGCAUUCAUUUGUAAAUAUAUCAUUUGUAUCGUUUAUUGUUUAUCGAUUUAAUGAUCGUUAAAAUAAAUUCGCUGACAUGCUUAAGGACGCGAUAUCUCAUUCUUUGAAACGGUCGCCAUGCGAUAUCCCGGUGGUUUGGGUUCGAAUCAUGUGGGUAUAUCUUUACAUUCUCCUUGAAAUUGCUAUAAAAUUUGAUGAAAUAAAAACGACUCGCACCUUAAUUUCGAACAAAAUGUUACACAAAUAUUAUCAGCGUUCUAAAAUUAAAUUAAACUAGUACAAGUCAGAAGGACAGUUAAGCGUUAAAUUUAAAUUAGUUUAGUGACUGGUAUGUCAUCUAGUGAGUCACGUCCACGCCGAGGUUGAUUGUGAAAUAUCCUGUACAUCAAACAGCUUUUAGUAAAACAAGACGUUUUUAAAAUACGUUAAAUUAAUAAUUUAAAUAAUAUUACAACUUUAACAACGUUUCAACUAUGUUUCACUAACUUGGACUAGCUGUGUUUAACGGACGAUAAAAGUCACACAGAUUAUAUAUGGUGAUGUACUUAAGUUAAGGAAAAAAGGUUUUAUCUAAUUCUCAUAUUAUUUAUAGGAAAUUAUUUUGUAUAUGAAAAAGUUACAAUCUAUUUUUAAUUCAAAAUAGAGACUAAGUGAUUAUAAACCAAAAUUAACAAUCCUAGAAUUGAAUAGAUAUAUUAAUCAUUACUAAAACAGCAUUGUGGAGAUAUAAAAUGUUAUACAUAGAAUACCUAUAUAAUUCAUAAUAAUUAAUGCGUGUAUUAAAGUUGCAGGUGUGCGGAAGCAUCCGGUUUUCCUGUUCAGGAGGUUGUAUAGAGGUUGUACUGAAGUUCGCAGGUCGAAUUUGUGGAAGAAUUGUGUAAUGAAAAUAUGUAUCUCGAGAACAUUUGUGACGUCCUUGCGCUCGACAUCACGAAGGACAUCAAUAAACCAUUCAAAGUGUUUGUGUGACGGACAUAUCCAAAGGAAGUAUACCUAUAAUGGGUAAAUUUAUUGAAUUAAUAUACCUUUCUUGUUAUUUGUAUCCCGUGUUACAAUAAUUCAAAAUCUCAAUAUUAAAUUGUUUGCUCUAUCAAUGUUAGUUGUAAUAAAGUAUUUUACAGUAUACAUUUUUUUCAAAAUAUUUUAUUUACUUACUUUCUUACACGCGACACCGGAGUACCGGUUAGUGGAAGUUCCGAAAACCAAAUCAUUUAAUAUGGAAGCGUAAGGUGUCACUCCGAUUCCGCCUCCAACCAUCACUGCUACUUCAAAUUUAUACCAAUCCUGGUUACCACCUCCAAAUGGUCCCUGGAUUCUAAAUACAUGGAUUGAUAAUAUGAAAUAGAAGAGCAAUUUUAAAGAAUUUAAAUUAGAAUAUAUAAAAAGUAAUGUAAAGUUUUUUUACCUUAUUUUAGGUUGAGUUUCGGGAUUAUAAUUGCAGGGGUCAAAAUAAUUUCUGAGCUUCCAAGUCCAUGGUCCUUGUGCUUUUAUAUGGCAUGAUAAGAAAUUUUCAUGAGGUGAAGAUGUUAAGGUGAAUGAAUGAAAUUCUUCCUUUUUAAAAGCUGUACAUGCCAACCGUACCCAUUGUCCUGUAAAUAAUUAUGUUUAAAAAAUAUUCCUUUAAAUGAACUGUGUAACUUGUUGAAAUAGUCUACCUGAUAGAUAUUUUAGAUUCGGCGGCCUAUAGAAUUUUAUUUUGAUGACAUCUGAUGGCAACAUCUCAGUCUCUAGCACAUCCAAAGCCAGAUAUUUCGUACGCAAUGAUACCACCUACGAUAAUUUAACAGGUGCUAUUAGAUAAAAUUACAUUAUACUAAGGUGUUACUGCAGAAGACAGUUCAUACUUUGUCCAAAGUGUAAACAAUUGCUGGUCCAAGGAAGAAUAUCCAGAAGCGAGGAGCACCAGUUAGCCUCGCCAGUCCAUGUACAAGACACAAUGCGUAUAGUGCAACAUGCAGUGAGUGAGCGCGCCAGAACCAAGGAUAGGCCCUCUUGCGGAUCACAGGAUGGGCAAACACGAAUAUAAUGCACAUUAUUAUAAAUAAAAGAACUCCCGAUAUACCUGAAAAUGACUGUUUGGAACACCCAGUAAGUAAUACCAGGUCUAAAAUCAGAAGUGAAGUGAACCUCUUUAGUCAAACAUCUUAAGUUUUCAACUGGUUGUGUGGAUACGUGAUAGAAGUUUACCAGAUGCCCAGCUGUAUGAAGU
Long non-coding RNA from Danaus plexippus (monarch butterfly), 2545 nucleotides. RefSeq lists it as uncharacterized. The record is from RefSeq and is a predicted model, not a curated record. The transcript has 3 exons. NCBI's taxonomy places the organism in Eukaryota, Metazoa, Arthropoda, Insecta, Lepidoptera, Nymphalidae.